GCUCAUGACGAACGCUGGCGGCGUGCCUAAUACAUGCAAGUCGAACGAACUCUGGUAUUGAUUGGUGCUUGCAUCAUGAUUUACAUUUGAGUGAGUGGCGAACUGGUGAGUAACACGUGGGAAACCUGCCCAGAAGCGGGGGAUAACACCUGGAAACAGAUGCUAAUACCGCAUAACAACUUGGACCGCAUGGUCCGAGCUUGAAAGAUGGCUUCGGCUAUCACUUUUGGAUGGUCCCGCGGCGUAUUAGCUAGAUGGUGGGGUAACGGCUCACCAUGGCAAUGAUACGUAGCCGACCUGAGAGGGUAAUCGGCCACAUUGGGACUGAGACACGGCCCAAACUCCUACGGGAGGCAGCAGUAGGGAAUCUUCCACAAUGGACGAAAGUCUGAUGGAGCAACGCCGCGUGAGUGAAGAAGGGUUUCGGCUCGUAAAACUCUGUUGUUAAAGAAGAACAUAUCUGAGAGUAACUGUUCAGGUAUUGACGGUAUUUAACCAGAAAGCCACGGCUAACUACGUGCCAGCAGCCGCGGUAAUACGUAGGUGGCAAGCGUUGUCCGGAUUUAUUGGGCGUAAAGCGAGCGCAGGCGGUUUUUUAAGUCUGAUGUGAAAGCCUUCGGCUCAACCGAAGAAGUGCAUCGGAAACUGGGAAACUUGAGUGCAGAAGAGGACAGUGGAACUCCAUGUGUAGCGGUGAAAUGCGUAGAUAUAUGGAAGAACACCAGUGGCGAAGGCGGCUGUCUGGUCUGUAACUGACGCUGAGGCUCGAAAGUAUGGGUAGCAAACAGGAUUAGAUAC
RNAcentral lists this ribosomal RNA (798 nucleotides) under Lactiplantibacillus plantarum. RNAcentral's name for it is "bacterial SSU rRNA". It matches the Rfam family "Bacterial small subunit ribosomal RNA", at positions 22 to 785 of the family's 1533-position model. Lineage: Bacteria; Bacillati; Bacillota; Bacilli; Lactobacillales; Lactobacillaceae. The record is from RNAcentral.